RNAcentral lists this ribosomal RNA (342 nucleotides) under uncultured bacterium. Its description in RNAcentral is "bacterial SSU rRNA". It matches the Rfam family "Bacterial small subunit ribosomal RNA", at positions 553 to 898 of the family's 1533-position model. The record is from RNAcentral.
ACUGGGCGUAAGCGCGCGCAGGCGGCUUUGCAGAUCGAUGUGAAACCCGGGCUCACCUGGGAAUUGCCUUGGUGACUGCACCGCUAGAGUGCGGCAGAGGUGGGUGGAAUUCCGCGUGUAGCGGUGAAAUGCGUAGAUAUGCGGAGGAACACCGAUGGCGAAGGCGGCCCCCUGGGCUGACACUGACGCUGAUGCGCGAAAGCGUGGGGAGCAAACAGGAUUAGAUACCCUGGUAGUCCACGCCCUAAACGAUGACAACUAGCUGUCGGGGAAUCAUUUCCUUAGGAAGGCACCUCUCACGCGUUGUUGUACUCGCCCGGGGAGAACCGGCGCCAAAUGUUA